Molecule: ribosomal RNA, 802 nt
Filed under: uncultured bacterium
Lineage: Bacteria
Description: bacterial SSU rRNA
Rfam family: Bacterial small subunit ribosomal RNA
Source: RNAcentral
AGUCGACGGAAUCCUUCGGGAUUUAGUGGCGGACGGGUGAGUAACACGUAAGAACCUGCCUCUAGGACGGGGACAACAGUUGGAAACGACUGCUAAACCCGGAUGAGCCGAAAGGUAAAAGAUUUAUCGCCUAGAGAGGGGCUUGCGUCUGAUUAGCUAGUUGGUAAGGUAAGAGCUUACCAAGGCGACGAUCAGUAGCUGGUCUGAGAGGAUGAUCAGCCACACUGGGACUGAGACACGGCCCAGACUCCUACGGGAGGCAGCAGUGGGGAAUUUUCCGCAAUGGGCGAAAGCCUGACGGAGCAAGACCGCGUGGGGGAGGAAGGUUCUUGGAUUGUCAACCCCUUUUCUCAGGGAAGAACUCAAUGACGGUACCUGAGGAAAAAGCAUCGGCUAACUCCGUGCCAGCAGCCGCGGUAAUACGGGGGAUGCAAGCGUUAUCCGGAAUGAUUGGGCGUAAAGAGUCCGUAGGUAGCCAAUCAAGUCUGCUGUUAAAGAGCGAGGCUUAACUUCGUAAAGGCAGUGGAAACUGGAAGGCUAGAGUGUAGUAGGGGCAGAGGGAAUUCCUGGUGUAGCGGUGAAAUGCGUAGAGAUCAGGAAGAACACCGGUGGCGAAGCGCUCUGCUGGGCUAUAACUGACACUGAGGGACGAAAGCUAGGGGAGCGAAUGGGAUUAGAUACUCCCAGUAGUCCUAGCGGUAAACGAUGGAAACUACGUGUGGUCUGUAUCGACCCGGGUCGUGCCGAAGCUAACGCGUUAAGUUUCCCGCCUGGGGAGUACGCACGCAAGUGUGAAACUCAA